Molecule: long non-coding RNA, 2420 nt
Organism: Oncorhynchus kisutch (coho salmon)
Lineage: Eukaryota; Metazoa; Chordata; Actinopteri; Salmoniformes; Salmonidae
Source: Ensembl
AAUCUAGUGCAGCGGAAAUAUUGAAAGAAAACAAAUACUAUUUGAACCCAGGUCUGGAACUAAGCACACUCUAUGCUCUUUGUCAGGUGCUGCUGGUGAGAUUAUGAAGACCAUGUCGUUGACCGAGUUGUCGGACUUCAUCAAAGAGCAGGAUUUGGACAUUCAAAGGAUGGAGAAUGAACAUGACGAGGGUGAAUGGUUUUUCCCAAUUCAUUAAAUGGUGUAGGGUGAAGUUGCCCCUAUACCAGUGGUCUUUGGUCAGUUUUUCCAUUUUCCUCACUAGUGGUUAGGAUUGCAGGAGGGGAAGCUAAUCCUUGAUCUGUACCAAAGAGAAACUUCACACCAGGGCUCAUUAAAUCCCCCUAAACCUACUACGGUAUUCAUAUCUUCCCAUGAAAAUAACUUGUGUUCAGUCAGUGUGAAAAACAUUGAUUUGUUCCAUACGCUCUUCUCCCUGGUCAGAUGCCAUCAAAGAGGAGCUCCUGAAGUUGACUGAGCAGAAGCACAAGGCAGACCGCUCUUUCUACAGCACUACAGAGACACUGACUGGGCCUCAGGAGAAGGCGAUGCUCCUCACCACCUCCAACCAGAGCCUAAACAGGGAGGCCCUGUGCCUGGUCUCCACACCCGACAAGAGCGAGUGCUCGGCGGGGGGAGGAGAUCAGCAGCUCCCCUGGUCCUUCCGGCCGUGCUUCACCCCAAUCAACAACCUGCUGACCGGAUUUAGCACUUCUCAGAGCCCCUACAGGGCCGAGGAGGAGGGGGGCUCCGGUCUGGCAAAUUAUGGCCUGUUCUCCUCCCCCAGUAUCUUCAGGGACCCUGUUAACCCCGUCUACGAGCCUCUGUUUGAGCUGGCCCUGCCCAGGGCUGCCUCUCUGUUCGUGGGGAGGAAGACUUCGGUGGCACUGGCGCAGAGGACCGCUGGCGACGAGGGGAGAGGAACGCAAGCAAGGGGGAGGAGGAAGGGGACGAGAUGGCGGCAUUGUCCCCGCUGGAGGUCCUGGAUCGCCUCAUUCAGCACGGCAACGAGGCCUAUGAAAAAGUGCUCAAGAGAUUGCCCAUGCCAAACAAGUCAGUAGACUGGACACACUUUGGAGGUAAACAACAGAGUAUGAAAGCGAAAGGUAUUGCCACUACGCUAUGAUGGGGGAGAGGAUGAGACUAUCCUUUUUUUCCUGUCUGCGCUCUCCUUCCUACCGCAUCCAUCACUCUCUUUGUCGGUUUGUCUUUUUUUUUUUCUAUCAGGUUCCUACCUUUAUCUUCUUUGAAAAGCUACAUAUCAGCUGUAAUAUAUGGAGUAGGGUGAAGUUGACCCUAAACGCUGAGCUUGGGUCAGUUUUGCUAUUAACCCACUAAGGCUAGGAUUGGGGGAGGGGGAGCUGAUCAUAGAUCUGUACCUAGGGGAACUGCCAUGAGUGUCUGUGGAACAACCUGUCCUUCUGUUUCUGUUCUCCAAACUCUCCAGGCUAAUAUUAAUUAGAUUGACCUAUUCAAUCCAAUGGGAUUUGGCUUACUAUGUGAUCAGAAUCUGAGAGCCACUGCAUCUCAUUGUUUCUUGCCCUUUGCUAUGGAGUCAAAGUUCGUCUUUUGAGACUAUCUAUGCAUGCAGUGCUUAGGUUAAUGCUUAAAAUCUAUGCAAUAUACAGUACCAUUUCAUUUUGAUCUAUAGUGAACAAAAAUAUUAACACAACAUUCAACAAUUUUAACAAUUUUACUGAGUUACCAUUCAUAUAAGAAAAUCAGUCAAUUGAAAUAAAUAAUUAGGAUUUGACUGGGCAGGGGCACAGCCAUGGGUGGGCCUAGGAGGUCUCCCACUUGGGAGCCAGGACCACCCACUGGGGAGCCAGGCCCAGCCAAUCGAAAUGUGUUUUUCCCCACAAAAAGGGCUUAUUACAGAUAGAAAUACUCCUCAGUUUUAUCAGCAGUCCGGGUGGCUGGUCUCAGACGAUCCCACAGGUGAAGAAGCCGGAUGUGGAGUUCCUGAUCUAGCGUGAUUACACUUGGUCUGCAGUUGUGAGGCCUGUUGCACAUACUGCCAAAUUCUCAAAAAUGACAUUGGAAGCUGCUUAUGGUAGAGAAAUUAGCAUUUAAAUAUCUGGCAACAGCUCUGGUGGACAUUCCUGCAGUCAGCAUGCCAAUUGCACGCUCCCUCAACUUGAGACAUCUGUGGCAUUGUGGUGUUUGACAAAAUUGCCUUUUAUUGUCCCCAGCACAAGGUGCACCUGUGUAAUGACCGUGCUGAUAAGCAGCUUCUUGGUAUGCCGCACCUGUCAGGUGGAUGGAUUAUCUUGUCAAAGGAGAAAUGCUCACUAUCUCGGAUGUAAAAAUAAAAUGUAAAAAUUAUUCUGCACAAAAGUUGAAAGAAAUAAGCUAUUUGUGUAUAUGGAAAAUCUGAGACUUUAUUUAAGCUCUUGAAAUUU